Molecule: ribosomal RNA, 252 nt
Filed under: uncultured bacterium
Lineage: Bacteria
Description: partial 16S ribosomal RNA
Rfam family: Bacterial small subunit ribosomal RNA
Source: RNAcentral
UACGAAGGGAGCUAGCGUUGUUCGGAAUCACUGGGCGUAAAGCGCACGUAGGCGGAUGUGUCAGUCAGGGGUGAAAUCCCGGAGCUCAACUUCGGAACUGCCUUUGAUACAGCACGUCUUGAGUCCGGAAGAGGUGGGUGGAAUUCCUAGUGUAGAGGUGAAAUUCGUAGAUAUUAGGAAGAACACCGGUGGCGAAGGCGGCCCACUGGUCCGGUACUGACGCUGAGGUGCGAAAGCGUGGGGAGCAAACAG